AUGAGUGACAUAGCAACUUACCUGGUACGCCGAGAGCUUGUGAAUUCUGGUCUCAAGUUCAACGAUCGACCAGAAAAUUAUUGGGCAUGGAGGUCUUCGUUCUGCAACGCCAUUGGAGGGCUAAACUUAACUGCUAGCGAGGAGCUCAACCUUUUAACAAAAUGGUUAGGCCCACAGUCUUCAGAGCACGUAAUGCGAGUCCGUUCCGUGCAUGUUGCCAGCCCUUCUACAGGAUUGAAGAUGGCCUGGGAACGCCUAGAGGAGUGCUAUGGUUCCCCUGAAGUAAUUGAAAGAGCUCUUUUUGACAGGAUAGAGAGUUUUCCUAAAGUCAGUCACAAGGAUCCCUUAAAGCUCAGGGAAUUAGGAGACCUGCUUAGGGAGCUAGAGUCUGCUAAGUCUGAAGGCUAUUUGCCUGGGCUCUCCUACCUAGACACCGCCAAGGGCGUCAACCCUAUAGUGGAAAAGUUGCCACCUGGUCUUCGAGAGAGGUGGUUAGUUCAAGGCUCAUUAUACAAAGAAGAGUACAGUGUUUCAUUUCCUCCACUUUCAUUCUUCAUGAACUUUGUAUGUAGUGAAGCAUGCAGAAGGAAUGACCCUAGCUUUACUCUCUCAACAGUCUCUACCACUCCGCCAGACAGUUCCUACAGGUUUUCAUCAGGAUCACCAAAACACGAACGAGGAGAGAGAAGAUCGGGAUAUUUCAAGACUCAGGUUUCUGCUCACAAGAUUGAAGUCGCAUCACAUCAACAGGCUUCUCAGCAAGAUGGCUCAAGUGGGAAGCUGAGUGACGUCGACAGAAAAUGUCCUAUUCACAAGAAACCUCAUCCUCUAAAAAAGUGCAGAGGUUUUCGGAGCAAACCACUCGAAGAGCGCAAGACACUUAAGGAACACAAUGUCUGUUUCAGAUGCUGUUCUUCUACUACUCACCUGGCAAAAAACUGUAAGGCAGCUUUAAAGUGUAAAGAAUGUGAUAGUGACGCUCACAUUUCUGCGCUUCACCCUGGACCGCCUCCGUGGAAUGUAGCAGACCCCUCCUCAGAGCAUGGCGGGGAGGGUGAACAAGAGCCUUCUCAGUCCGUGGUCACCUCGACGUGCACAGAGGUCUGUGAUGAAGCUAAAGGACCUAGAUCUUGCUCUAAAAUCUGUUUGGACACCAAGGAAAGGCCAUUAAAGUCUGUUAUUCUGGACGACCAGAGUAAUAGAUCAUUGGCAAAAUCUGAAUUCUUUAACCUCUUCCACAUCGGUGGGUCACACUCGCCAUAUACUCUCCGCACAUGUUCAGGAAUCACCGAGACAUUUGGGAGGAGAGCCACAGGAUUCAUGCCAGAAUCAUUGGAUGGUAAGACAAGUGUCGUGCUCACCACACUCAUUGAGUGCAAUCACAAGCCAGAUGAUCGGUCAGAGAUUCCGACUCCAGAAGUCGCACAGCACCACAGUCAUCUUACGCCCAUUGCUCACAGAAUACCACAGCUAGAUCCAGAAGCCCAGAUACUGUUGCUUCUAGGGCGUGACAUCCUGCAGGUUCACAAAGUCAGAAAGCAACGCAAUGGUCCAAACAAUGCGCCCGAUGCUCAGAGAUUAGACUUUGGUUGGGUAGUUAUAGGCAAUGUUUGCCUGGGCUCAGCACACAAGCCAGGUCCUGUAACUUCUUUCCGGACCAACAUUCUGGAAAACGGACGUUCAUCUUUUUUUACUCCAUGUCCUAAUCACCUCCAGGUCAAGGAGAGGUUUGACGUCGAGGCCCAGCAUUGCAACCCUUUGCAUGGACUUGCACACGACACUGCAAUGCUUGAGGACUGCAACCUUGGCAAUAUGAUCUUUCGGAGAACCAAGGACGAUAACAAAGUUGGUCUCUCCAUUGAAGAUAGACUCUUUCUACAGGUCAUGGCCAAAGAGAUGUUUAUGGACGAUACCAAUAGCUGGGUGGCACCACUUCCUUUUCAAUCCCCUCGGCAGCGGCUCCCAAACAAUCGGGACCAAGCUCUUACUCGCCUCAAAUCUCUUUGUCGUAUCUUAGAGAAAAAACCUGAGAUGAAAGCUUACUUUGUGAACUUCAUGCACAAGAUCUUCGAUCACGAUCAAGCCGAGCUAGCUCCACCACUGCUUGAGGGAGAGGAACGAUGGUACUUACCCAUCUUUAGCGUAUACCAUCCUCGCAAGCCAAGUCAGAUCAGAGUUGUCUUCGACUCCAGUGCACAGCAUUGUGGCGUCUGUCUGAAUGACGUGCUACUUACUGGGCCAGAUCUCAACAACAGCCUACUGGGAGUCUUGCUGCGCUUCCGAAAAGAGGCAGUGGCUGUGAUAGGGGACAUCGAGCAGAUGUUUCACAGUUUUAUCGUCAGGGAAGAUCACAGAGACUUUCUUCAGUUUUUGUGGUUCAAGGACAACGACCUCAACAAAGAGAUUGUCGAGUACCGAAUGAAAGUUCAUGUAUUCGGCAACAGCCCAUCUCCAGCCGUAGCCAUCUAUGGUCUUCGUCGAGCAGCUCAGCACGGAGCAAAUGAGUACGGUAUGAAUGUCAGAGAUUUUGUGGAACGUAACUUCUACGUCGACGAUGGUCUCAAGUCACUCCCAACAGCGGCCGAUGCUAUUGACCUCCUGAAAAGAGUACAGGACAUGCUUGCAAUCUCCAAUUUGCGGCUUCAUAAGAUAGCAUCAAACCACCCUGAUGUCCUGAAGGCCUUCCAUCCAGAAGACCACGCAAGGGACCUGCAGAAUGUAGACUUUGAUGACAACUCAUCUCUCAUCCAACGCAGCUUAGGGUUAAGCUGGGAUCUCAAACAGGAUGUUUUCACCUUCAGAGUGGUGCCAGCAGAGAAACCUUUCACCCGUAGGGGUGUCUUAGCCACAGCCUGUUUGACCCUCUCGGAUUUGUCGCACCAGUCGUCAUCCGAGGGAAGUUCCUGCUGCGAGAGCUCACCAACAGCGAAGCUCUUGACUGGGAUAGCCCUCUGCCAGAGGACAAAGAAGCAGAAUGGAGAAUAUGGACAGACUCCUUGCAAGAUCUAA
RNAcentral lists this long non-coding RNA (3009 nucleotides) under Scleropages formosus (Asian bonytongue). Its description in RNAcentral is "lncRNA (ENSSFOG00015028644.1)". The record is from RNAcentral. Lineage: Eukaryota; Metazoa; Chordata; Actinopteri; Osteoglossiformes; Osteoglossidae.